AGUAUUUUUGUAUGACUAAUAUUAUUCAAGUACAUGAUAUUAUUUGAUUUAAUUGUUAUCUGAAUUAUGAUAAUGUAAUACUUACCCCCAGUGGUUUUAACCGCCUAUUUGCCUGUAUGGGUGAGUAGACGUUGUGCGUGAGUAGUGCUCGGUGAGUCUUUGCUUGGGAUAUCGGGAGCUUUCUCCGAUAUCGGUGUUGAGUCGGCUCUGAUCUAGGCUUGUUGUGUCAGUCUAGAUUAGGUUGUUUUAUUUUCCUU
Molecule: long non-coding RNA, 257 nt
Filed under: Medicago truncatula (barrel medic)
Lineage: Eukaryota; Viridiplantae; Streptophyta; Magnoliopsida; Fabales; Fabaceae
Description: long non-coding RNA (MTRU_LNC000479)
Source: RNAcentral